Molecule: ribosomal RNA, 492 nt
Filed under: uncultured bacterium
Lineage: Bacteria
Description: partial 16S ribosomal RNA
Rfam family: Bacterial small subunit ribosomal RNA
Source: RNAcentral
AGUGAACGCUGGCGGUAGGCCUAACACAUGCAAGUCGAACGGCAGCACAGUAAGAGCUUGCUCUUACGGGUGGCGAGUGGCGGACGGGUGAGGAAUACAUCGGAAUCUACUUUUUCGUGGGGGAUAACGUAGGGAAACUUACGCUAAUACCGCAUACGACCUACGGGUGAAAGCAGGGGAUCUUCGGACCUUGCGGGAUUGAAUGCGCCGAUGUCGGAUUAGCUAGUUGGCGGGGUAAAGGCCCACCAAGGCGACGAUCCGUAGCUGGUAUGAGAGGAUGAUCAGCCACACUGGAACGAAGACACGGUCCAGACUCCUACGGGAGGCAGCAGUGUGGAAUAUUGAACAAUGGGCGCAAGCCUGAUCCAGCCAUACCGCGUGGGUGAAGAAGGCAUUCGGGUUGUAAAGCCCUUUUGUUGGGAAAGAAAAGCAGCAGGUUAAUACCCCGCUGUUCUGACGGUACCCAAAGAAUAAGCACCGGCUAACUUCGUG